UGAGAGGAGGGUGCAGACCAGAUUUUUAAAUUGAGAAUGCAACAGUGAAGGAUUUCAAGCUUGGAGUGAGAGGGGAGACUACGAGCCUGCAGUGAUAAGGCAAAGCUGAAGAUUUCAGAGCCAAGGCCACACCCUACAGUUGCCAUGGAAUGGGGUGGCACAGUGGGCUUUGGAGGUAAAGUCUGCAGUUGAGAAGUUCAAGGGUAAUAUACAGGGAGUCCACGGAGCCUCCCCUGCAAGCAUCAGUACAGAAGUCGAUGAUAAUCUGGAUGCAAGCCCAGGAGUGUGGAGUCCACUGACUCAGAAGACCUGCAUCUAAGGAAUUGGCUGUUCUUAUCCUUAAGAAUGAUGACUGUGUUUCCAAUUCCAGUAGACCCUUUGAUGCGUUCUGAAUAAAUAUUCCUUUUGGAAUUGAACUUCUAGAGCCCUUAA
Molecule: long non-coding RNA, 432 nt
Filed under: Homo sapiens (human)
Lineage: Eukaryota; Metazoa; Chordata; Mammalia; Primates; Hominidae
Description: long independently transcribed non-coding RNA 2217 (LINC02217)
Source: RNAcentral